UUUCGACAAUAGCAAACUUAUCUAAAGGUAAGGACGCAAAGCCAUGGGUCUAAGGAACAAAUAUGUUGUUCUAUGAUUGCCAGACUGCCGAA
This 92-nucleotide non-coding RNA is filed under the name Maledivibacter halophilus. Its description in RNAcentral is "Clostridium halophilum c-di-GMP sequence". It matches the Rfam family "c-di-GMP-I riboswitch aptamer". From Rfam's summary of the family: GEMM was predicted in a large-scale screen for bacterial structured RNA regulatory elements. Genes associated with GEMM are involved in a diverse array of functions, including chemotaxis regulation, signal transduction, secretion and chitin. Lineage: Bacteria; Bacillati; Bacillota; Clostridia; Peptostreptococcales; Caminicellaceae. The record is from Rfam by way of RNAcentral.